GGCUCCUUAGCAAGUGUUAUGGCUCCUUUGCUGUUAUAGUAGAGUGGUAUGGCAUUUGAUGUCAUAACUUUAAGUUUCAUAACAAACUUCUUAAACUAGAAGCCUUUCAUUGCAGCAUCUGAAGCAGCAACAUACUUAGCCUCCCUGGUCGAAUUCGCUAUGAUGGGUUGCUUGAAACUCUUCCAACUGAUUGCACCACUAUUGCAAACGAACACA
Molecule: long non-coding RNA, 216 nt
Filed under: Elaeis guineensis (African oil palm)
Lineage: Eukaryota; Viridiplantae; Streptophyta; Magnoliopsida; Arecales; Arecaceae
Description: long non-coding RNA (EGUI_LNC055665)
Source: RNAcentral